This 83-nucleotide transfer RNA is filed under the name Saccharomyces cerevisiae R103. Its description in RNAcentral is "tRNA-Arg". It matches the Rfam family "tRNA". From Rfam's summary of the family: Transfer RNA (tRNA) molecules are approximately 80 nucleotides in length. Their secondary structure includes four short double-helical elements and three loops (D, anti-codon, and T loops). The record is from RNAcentral. Lineage: Eukaryota; Fungi; Ascomycota; Saccharomycetes; Saccharomycetales; Saccharomycetaceae.
UUCCUCGUGGCCCAAUGGUCACGGCGUCUGGCUACGAACCAGAAGAUUCCAGGUUCAAGUCCUUUCAAGUCCUGGCGGGGAAG